Molecule: ribosomal RNA, 558 nt
Filed under: Fusarium annulatum
Lineage: Eukaryota; Fungi; Ascomycota; Sordariomycetes; Hypocreales; Nectriaceae
Description: eukaryotic LSU rRNA
Rfam family: Eukaryotic large subunit ribosomal RNA
Source: RNAcentral
UGCCUAGUACGGCGAGUGAAGCGGCAACAGCUCAAAUUUGAAAUCUGGCUCUCGGGCCCGAGUUGUAAUUUGUAGAGGAUACUUUUGAUGCGGUGCCUUCCGAGUUCCCUGGAACGGGACGCCAUAGAGGGUGAGAGCCCCGUCUGGUUGGAUGCCAAAUCUCUGUAAAGUUCCUUCGACGAGUCGAGUAGUUUGGGAAUGCUGCUCUAAAUGGGAGGUAUAUGUCUUCUAAAGCUAAAUACCGGCCAGAGACCGAUAGCGCACAAGUAGAGUGAUCGAAAGAUGAAAAGCACUUUGAAAAGAGAGUUAAAAAGUACGUGAAAUUGUUGAAAGGGAAGCGUUUAUGACCAGACUUGGGCUUGGUUAAUCAUCUGGGGUUCUCCCCAGUGCACUUUUCCAGUCCAGGCCAGCAUCAGUUUUCGCCGGGGGAUAAAGACUUCGGGAAUGUGGCUCUCUUCGGGGAGUGUUAUAGCCCGUUGUGUAAUACCCUGGCGGGGACUGAGGUUCGCGCAUCUGCAAGGAUGCUGGCGUAAUGGUCAUCAACGACCCGUCUUGACC